RNAcentral lists this ribosomal RNA (468 nucleotides) under uncultured bacterium. Its description in RNAcentral is "partial 16S ribosomal RNA". It matches the Rfam family "Bacterial small subunit ribosomal RNA", at positions 28 to 507 of the family's 1533-position model. The record is from RNAcentral.
GACGAACGCUGGCGGCGUGCUUAACACAUGCAAGUCGAACGGAAAGGCCCUGCUUUUGUGGGGUGCUCGAGUGGCGAACGGGUGAGUAACACGUGAGUAACCUGCCCUUGACUUUGGGAUAACUUCAGGAAACUGGGGCUAAUACCGGAUAGGAGCUCCUGCUGCAUGGUGGGGGUUGGAAAGUUUCGGCGGUUGGGGAUGGACUCGCGGCUUAUCAGCUUGUUGGUGGGGUAGUGGCUUACCAAGGCUUUGACGGGUAGCCGGCCUGAGAGGGUGACCGGCCACAUUGGGACUGAGAUACGGCCCAGACUCCUACGGGAGGCAGCAGUGGGGAAUAUUGCACAAUGGGCGGAAGCCUGAUGCAGCAACGCCGCGUGCGGGAUGACGGCCUUCGGGUUGUAAACCGCUUUCGCCUGUGACGAGGCGUCAGUGACGGUAAUGGGUAAAGAAGCACCGGCUAACUACGUG